AAAACAUGGAGGCCAGUGAGGACAAAAAUAAAAAGUUAUAAGACUUUUAAAUAUGUGGAUUUUAGGGUUAUCUUUGGCGCCCCCUAGAACCUAAACCGUGGGGUGCAGCGUCAUGAUUUGAAUAACUUUUAAUGGCCAUGGGGUGUAGAUUGGCCUGAGCAAAUGUGGUGCCGGUGGAACGAAAGCCUUCGGAGGAAUUAGCGAAAUUCCAAUGUGUGCGAAUCUGCAAAAAAUGCGAAAUAACCCUUCAACCGUACAUUUUACAGAUACGUGGCCAUUGACUUUUUCGAAGAUCUUAUUGAAAUACACGUGUAUGUAAAAUUUUGUGUCAAUACGACAAAACAUACAGGCGUAGCACUCAACAAUGUGUAUUUUCACCUUAGUGGACAAGAAAAAAUUGACUUUUUUCUCCUGCCAUGGGGGGCGCUCUUUUGCCGAGUAAAAAUUCCUUCACAAAUGUGUUGAUGGCUGGACAUUGCAUCAUCCUAGAAAACUUGGAGGCCAGUGGGGACAAAAAUAAAAAGUUAUAAGACUUUUAAAUAUGUGGAUUUUACGGUUAUCUUUGGCUCCCCCUAGAACCUAAACCGUGGGGUGCAGCGUCAUGAUUUGAAUAACUUUUAAUGGCCAUGGGGUGUAGAUUGGCCUGAGCAAAUGUGGUGCCGGUGGAACGAAAGCCUUCGGAGGAGUUAGCGAAAUUCCAAUGUGUGCGGAUCGGCAAAAAAUGCGGAAUAACCCUUUAACCGUACAUUUGACAGAUACGCGCGCAUUGACUUUUUCGUAGAUCUUAUUGAGAUACAUGUGUGUGUCAAUUUUUGUGUCAUUUUGCCAAAGCGUACAGGUGUUACACUCAACAAUGUGUAUUUUCACCUUUGGGGACAAGAAAAAAUGGACUUUUUUCUCCUGCCAUGGGGGGCGCUCUUUUGGGGAGUAAAAAUUCCUUCACAAAUGUGUUGAUGGCUGGACAUUGCAUCAUCCUAGAAAACUUGGAGGCCAGUGAGGGCAAAAAUAAAAAGUUAUAAGACUUUUAAAUAUGUGGAUCUUAGGGUUAUCUUUGGCGCCCCCUAGAACCUAAACCUUGGGGUGCAGCGUCAUGAUUUGAAUAACUUUUAAUGGCCAUGGGGUGUAGAUUGGCCUGAGCAAAUGUGGUGCCGGUGGAACGAAAGCCUUCGGAGGAGUUAGCGAAAUUCCAAUGUGUGCGGAUCGGCAAAAAAUGCGAAAUAACCCUUUAACCGUACAUUUGACAGAUACGCCCGCACUGACUUUUUCGUAGAUCUUAUUGAGAUACAUGUGUGUGUCAAUUUUUGUGUCAUUUUGACAAAGCGUACAGGCGUGACAGUCAAUAGUGUGAAUUUUCACCUUAGGGGGCGCUAUGGAGCCAUUUUGCAUUUUCUUGUUUGGGCGACUUCGGAAUAUCAAAUUUUCACCAGGCCCGGUCGUCCUGCCAAAUUUCAUGAGUUUUCGCCAGUGGGAAGUGGGCCAUUUUCCAGUUCAAAGGGGAGGAAAAAUAAUAAUAAUAAUAACUAGGACCCCGUUGGGGCACUGGCGGGCCCGAGCCGUGUCGCGUCCCCCCCCCAACGUGCUGCCUCCCCGUCCCAUUUGUGUCCUCUGGCCAUCGCCCUCUCUGGUAACGCCCAUCACUGCAAAGACCCUUUUCCUUCAUCGGCGUUUGCUGUUCUUCUUGCCAGUGCGUGUUGCUUUCACUUACACUUGCCACAGCCAGCCUCGUGAGUGCCUAGCCUAUUGGAUAUCACUGUCACCUACACAGGACAGUCAUUACCUUUCUAUUAAUACUUUGUGUUUCAAUUUCACAUUAAUUUCCAUAUUGUAUAAACGACUGGAAAAAACUUGAGCCCCUGCCCCUGUAUAAUCAUGUGCAUAUCUCUGUUCUAGCUCCAAAGUGAAUCUUCACUGCUCAUGUUCUCCUCAGAAGCACUCACCUCACUCCCCUCAGGUUACUGUACACAUGCACCAACUGCCUGCUUCAGGUUUGGAUGGAGCUUCAUGGUUGUCUUUUGGAGAAAUGACCAGUCAAGUUGUGUUUGAAAUUUGAUUUUUUUCAGGGGCAAAAGGAGCCUCUGCAUUCUUGUCAAAUAUGUAAAUAGCAUGUUUUUGCAGGUGCUAAAAACCAGACUCUGAGUGUGUGUGUGUGUGUGUGUGUGUGUGUGUGUGUGUGUGUCUGUGUGUGCGUUCAAGUCACAUGACAUAUUUAACCGGAUGUAGCUGCAAGACGGAGCCUCGUUGACUCUCCGUUUCAACUUAUCUCAAAAGUGAGGACCUCAACCUAUAUACCAGUUUUUAAAUUGUGUUGAUAGGCCAAAUAAAACCAGAGUUAUGAUAAAUUAUGUCCGCGAUACUUUUUUUCUGCUUAUUUUGAUCACGUUCGGCGCUCGAUCGCGCUGUAUGAGACAGGAAAACAUAGCAUGCAGACAUUAGCGACAGGUCUUACAGGCGGAAAAGGCUUGCCAAAAGAAAAAAAAAACACACCACAACAUCUCUCCUAUUGGUGGAAAACUUCACCACAACAACCAAUCCAAAAUUAUAUGGUGACUGAUUGACAAGGGGCGGGUGCUUACGUUCUUCCUGCAACAUGAGAAGCGAGGGAGGGACUCUCAGCAGGGAUGCAGUCUGGGACACGUAGUUGCAAACCUAGCGACUUUGUUGUUAGAUUCAAUGACUUUUCAGACCCCCUAACGACUUUUUUUUUAGAAAGAAAGGGACUUUUAUCGACUUCUUCUGGAGUUUAGAGACUCUGACAUGAAGCAGGCUUUCCUUACUGAGGAGUUAGCAACGCUGCUAAGGGUGCAGAGCCACACAUGCGCUCAGAGCUCUGCAUGGGAGACUGAAGCUGACAGAGCUGCAGCAGUUAGCAGGUUUCACCCUCAGAGACCACCAGGGGUUCAUGUUGAGGCAUUUUAAUUUUUUUUUUUUUUGUGCCAUAGACACUGUCAGCGCAAUCUGCAGUUACACUAACAAAAAUGCUGCAAAAAACAAAGAAUUAUGGAAAAAUUACACAUGGACUGACAUAGAGGAGGAUCUAGUUUUUUACAUCAUGUUUUACAUCAUGCAUCAUUUACAUCAUGUUUUUUUGUAGUGGCAUAAAUAAAAAGUGACAUUUGUGAGACUAUACAGUGUUUUGUAAAUAAUUUUACAAAGAACGCCUGGGCCAUUGCCUGCAUUUUGAUGUAAAUAGAGGUAAAUCACUAUGUUCUUUGUUAAAAAUUUGCAUAUGUUUUGAAGUUUACAAUUUUUAUUUGAAGUUUAAGUUUUAAAAACAGUUCAUCACACAUAUUUGUGGUUUUCACAGUAAAAAUGUUACUUUUUUCCACUCGGAUUUUAUGUUUUGUGUGUGAAUUUGGGUCCAUUGUGUAAAUUCAGUAUGUCAACAUGAUAAAAUAACUGUAAAUUCGCACAGGUGAGGUUGUGCUGAAAAAAAUGAUACCAGGCAAGGCACGUGAUUGUCAAAUUUUGUAUCAAUAUGACAAAGCGUAUAGGCGUGAAUCUCAACAAUAUGUAUUUUCACCUUAGGGGACAAGAAAAAAUUGACUUUUUUCUCCUGCCAUGGGGGGGCGCUCUUUUGGGGAGUAAAAAUUCCUUCACAAAUGUGUUGAUGGCUGGACAUUGCAUCAUCCUAGAAAACUUGGAGGCCAGUGAGGACAAAAAUAAAAAGUUAUAAGACUUUUAAAUAUGUGGAUUUUAGGGUUAUCUUUGGCGCCCCCUAGAACCUAAACCGUGGGGUGCAGCGUCAUGAUUUUGAUAACUUUUAAUGGCCAUGGGGUGUAGAUUGGCCUGAGCAAAUGUGGUGCCGGUGGAACGAAAGCCUUAGGAGGAGUUAGCCACAUUCCAAUGUGUGCGGAUCGGCAAAAAAUGCGGAAUAACCCUUUAACCGUACAUUUGACAGAUACGCGCUCAUAGACUUUUUUGUAGAUCUUAUUGAGAUACAUGUGUGUGUCAAUUUUUGUGUCAUUUUGCCAAAGCGUAAAGGCGUGACACUCAACAAUGUGUAUUUUCACCUUAGGGGUCAAGAAAAAAUGGACUUUUUUCUCCUGCCAUGGGGGGGCGCUCUUUUGGGGAGUAAAAAUUCCUUCACAAAUGUGUUGAUGGCUGGACAUUGCAUCAUCCUAGAAAACUUGGAGGCCAGUGAGGACAAAAAUAAAAAGUUAUAAGACUUUUAAAAAUGUGGAUUUUUGGGUUAUCUUUGGCGCCCCCUAGAACGUAAACCGUGGGGUGCAGCGUCAUGAUUUGAAUAACUUUUAAUGGCCAUGGGGUGUAGAUUGGCCUGAGCAAAUGUGGUGCCGGUGGAACGAAAGCCUUCAGAGGAGUUAGCGAAAUUCCAAUGUGUGCGGAUCGGCAAAAAAUGCGAAAUAACCCUUUAACCGUACAUUAGACAGAUACGCGCGCAUGGACUUUUUUGUAGAUCUUAUUGAGAUACAUGUGUGUGUCAAUUUUUGUGUCAUUUUGACAAAGCGUACAGGCGUGACAGUCAAUAGUGUGAAUUUUCACCUUAGGGGACAAGAAAAAAUGGACUUUUUUCUCCUGCCAUGGGGGGGGCGCUCUUUUGGGGAGUAAAAAUUCCUUCACAAAUGUGUUGAUGGCUGGACAUUGCAUCAUCCUAGAAAACUUGGAGGCCAGUGAGGGCAAAAAUAAAAAGUUAUAAGACUUUUAAAUAUGUGGAUUUUAGGGUUAUCUUUGGCGCCCCCUAGAACCUAAACCGUGGGGUGCAGCGUCAUGAUUUGAAUAACUUUUAAUGGCCAUGGGGUGUAGAUUGGCCUGAGCAAAUGUGGUGCCGGUGGAACGAAAGCCUUCAGAGGAGUUAGCGAAAUUCCAAUGUGUGCGGAUCGGCAAAAAAUGCGAAAUAACCCUUUAACCGUACAUUUGACAGAUACGCCCGCACUGACUUUUUUGUAGAUCUUAUUGAGAUACAUGUGUGUGUCAAUUUUUGUGUCAUUUUGACAAAGCGUACAGGCGUGACAGUCAAUAGUGUGAAUUUUCACCUUAGGGGGCGCUAUGGAGCCAUUUUGCAUUUUCUUGUUUGGGCGACUUCGGAAUAUCAAAUUUUUCACCAGGCCCGGUCGUCCUGCCAAAUUUCAUGAGUUUUCGCCAGUGGGAAGUGGGCCAUUUUCCAGUUCAAAGGGGAGGAAAAAGAAACUAGGGCCCCGUUGGGGCACUGGCGGGCCCGAGCCGUGUCGCGCUGCCCCCCCCAACACGCUGCCUCCCCGUCCCAUUCGCGUCCUCUGGCCAUCGUCCUCUCUGGUAACG
Non-coding RNA from Xyrichtys novacula (pearly razorfish), 5256 nucleotides. Lineage: Eukaryota; Metazoa; Chordata; Actinopteri; Labriformes; Labridae. The record is from the annotation of a GenBank genome assembly.